CGGUCCACAAGAGUCUACAAGACGGAUACACAGAGCGGAAUCUUCAUGUCCGGAGCUUCUGUCCACAGAAUCUUCGCACCAGAGGGUAUCAUGUAUCGAUCUAAUCACCUGUUUGUCACAUCAAGCUGCACACCUGGAACCGGAAGGAUGCUGUAUGUCCACGAGCACAUGUGGUGGAUGUCCACGCUCGCAGCCGAAAAAGGACUUGGUGGAUACGAGAAAGACCCCACGCUCACUGGUGUGCAAUGUGCUGUUAUGGCAAAGAACAGAGCAUGUUCCUGUCUUUGGUUAUCUAGCUGUAUGAGUACUAAUCAUCCGUCAUAAAGCUAGAUAACCGAAAGUAGGAAUGACCUUCAAACCUUCUCUUCCUUGCAUGCUUAAAUGAGACACACACAAAAAAGAGGAAAACAGAAUAACAAAAGAAACACAAGAGGAUGUACUCUCUGUUCAGGAAAAGAAGCAAUGAAUUUCACCGCACUGCAGAUCAUCACCCAAGUUUAUAAAAUCAUUCUACCCAUUUUAUUGGGAGGACUAUCUGCCAUAGUCACAUGCAUUUUCUGUACCGAUCCCAAAGAGGGCACAUAUCGACAAGCAACCAUUCACACUCACUUAUGUUGUGACAUUUCACACAUAAGUGAAAAACACUACCGACUUUGAGGAAGGAAUGAUGUUCUUCAGUGUAAACAUUCGUGUUCAUUUCACGUGCAUUUGGAAAAAUGAAGAAAGAGUUCACAUUUCUGUCUGAAGCUGUCAUCACACACAUUCGUACAUCCACAUUAUUGUUUGCCAGCAAUUAUUGGUAGUUAUAUGAAUGUCAUAUGACUUUUCUAUGCAAAUCUGUUUUAUGUUUUAUGUAAUUACUAAUCUGCUUUUACAAAUAAAACUGUGUAAAGAGUUAUUGUGUCUGAGUUUCAUUGCAAUGAAUGCAAUGAUAGCGUAGUCAGCACCCUGGACAGUGACAUCUAUAGUCUAUUGCUGGGUUGUGCCAACUUUUUCCACCAAGGGUUGCAUAGUGUAAAGAAAAAUAUACGGGGAGGCCACUCUGAUAUUUUUAUGUACAGUAUUUUUAAAUUUUAGAAAAAUGCUAAAAAAAAACCUGUAUGUAUAUUUAAAGACAAAGCUUUGUGUUAUUGUUAGUUAUUAGUAUCGACAUUUCCGCUUCUUCUCUUUACAUUUUGCCUUUUUGCUCUAUUUUUCCAAUUUUUGCUGGGGUUUUUUUUGGUUAAUUUUCAUUUCUACAAUGUGCCGUGGGCCAAUAAAAAACAAGCUGCGAGCCACAGUAUACACCCUUGGUCUAUUGCAUAAGAAUAGAAUAAGUUUUCGUCCUACAG
Dunckerocampus dactyliophorus (ringed pipefish) is the source of this 1331-nucleotide long non-coding RNA. RefSeq lists it as uncharacterized. Lineage: Eukaryota; Metazoa; Chordata; Actinopteri; Syngnathiformes; Syngnathidae. The record is from RefSeq and is a predicted model, not a curated record. The transcript has 3 exons.